This 750-nucleotide ribosomal RNA is filed under the name uncultured bacterium. RNAcentral's name for it is "bacterial SSU rRNA". It matches the Rfam family "Bacterial small subunit ribosomal RNA", at positions 43 to 787 of the family's 1533-position model. The record is from RNAcentral.
CGGGGAGGCAUCAUGGCAGUCGAACGGGGUACCCCCAAAGGAGUUUUCGGACAACUGCGGGGAAUACCUAGUGGCGGCAUUUAAAGUAANGGGUGAGUAANCUGGCUUGGAGGGGGGCCCUUUAAAUGGAAANAGNUGNUAAUAUUGUAUGAUGNAGUUGAGUCGUAUGGNUCUGAAUGNNAAAGAUUUAUCGCUCUGAGAUGGACUCGCGUCUGAUUAGCUAGUUGGUGGGGCAACGGCCCACCAAGGCGACGAUCAGUAGCCGGACUGAGAGGUUGGCCGGCCACAUUGGGACUGAGACACGGCCCAGACUCCUACGGGAGGCAGCAGUGGGGAAUAUUGGGCAAUGGGCGCAAGCCUGACCCAGCAACGCCGCGUGAAGGAAGAAGGCUUUCGGGUUGUAAACUUCUUUUCUCAGGGACUAUUUAAGUGACGGUACCUGAGGAAUAAGCCACGGCUAACUACGUGCCAGCAGCCGCGGUAAUACGUAGGUGGCAAGCGUUAUCCGGAUUUACUGGGUGUAAAGGGCGUGUAGGCGGGAAAGCAAGUCAGAAGUGAAAACCAUGGGCUCAACCUGUGGCCUGCAUUUGAAACUGUUUUUCUUGAGUAAUGGAGAGGCAGACGGAAUUACCUAGUGUAGCGGUGAACUGCCCACAUAUUACGAGGAAACCCCACCGCCGAAGGCCGCCUGUUUGCUUUCACCUGACCUUUAUUUACUCAUGCUUGUGCACACCAAUCGACUAUAUAUUU